UUGGGAGCUCUCCCAUAUGGUCGACCUGCAGGCGGCCGCGAAUUCACUAGUGAUUCGUAUUACCGCGGCUGCUGGCACGAAGUUAGCCGGGGCUUCUUCUCCGGGUACCGUCAUUAUCGUCCCCGGUGAAAGGAUUUUACAAUCCUAAGACCUUCAUCAUCCACGCGGCAUGGCUGCGUCAGGCUUUCGCCCAUUGCGCAAGAUUCCCCACUGCUGCCUCCCGUAGGAGUCUGGGCCGUGUCUCAGUCCCAGUGUGGCUGGCCAUCCUCUCAGACCAGCUACUGAUCGUCGCCUUGGUGAGCCAUUACCUCACCAACUAGCUAAUCAGACGCGGGCCGCUCCAAAGGCGAUAAAUCUUUCCCCCGAAGGGCUCAUCCGGUAUUAGCACAAGUUCCCCUGUGUUGUUCCGAACCAGAAGGCACGUUCCCACGUGUUACUCACCCGUCCGCCACUAUCCCGAAGGACCGUUCGACUUGCAUGUGUUAAGCCUGCCGCCAGCGUUCGCUCUGAGCCAGGAUCAAACUCUAAUCGAAUUC
This 536-nucleotide ribosomal RNA is filed under the name uncultured Alphaproteobacteria bacterium. RNAcentral's name for it is "partial 16S ribosomal RNA". Lineage: Bacteria; Pseudomonadati; Pseudomonadota; Alphaproteobacteria. The record is from RNAcentral.